This 477-nucleotide ribosomal RNA is filed under the name uncultured anaerobic ammonium-oxidizing bacterium. RNAcentral's name for it is "bacterial SSU rRNA". It matches the Rfam family "Bacterial small subunit ribosomal RNA", at positions 365 to 832 of the family's 1533-position model. The record is from RNAcentral.
UUCGCAAUGCCCGAAAGGGUGACGAAGCGACGCCGCGUGGGUGAGGAAGGCCUUCGGGUUGUAAAGCCCUGUCAGGAGUUAAGAAAUGUAAGUGUGCUAAUAUCGCAUUUACUUGACGAAGGCUCCAAAGGAAGUCACGGCUAACUCUGUGCCAGCAGCCGCGGUAAUACAGAGGUGGCAAGCGUUGUUCGGAAUUAUUGGGCGUAAAGAGCACGUAGGUGGGUUUGUAAGUCAGAUGUGAAAGCCUCCUGUUCAACGGGAGAAUUGCAUCUGAAACUACUGAUCUUGAGUAUAGGAGGGGAGAAUGGAACUUCUGGUGGAGCGGUGAAAUGCGUAGAUAUCAGAAGGAACGCCGGCGGCGAAAGCGAUUCUCUGGCCUAUUACUGACACUCAGUAUGCGAAAGCUAGGGGAGCAAACGGGAUUAGAUACCCCGGUAGUCCUAGCCGUAAACGAUGGGCACUAAGUAGAGGGGUUUU